This 371-nucleotide unclassified non-coding RNA is filed under the name Hevea brasiliensis (rubber tree). The record is from RNAcentral. Lineage: Eukaryota; Viridiplantae; Streptophyta; Magnoliopsida; Malpighiales; Euphorbiaceae.
UUCACAGUACAUAAAAGAGGCAACUGAGUUGGCUAAAAAAGCUAGGGAGUUGAAGAAAGCAGCAGAGGCUCUUCAUCAGGAGGAGAGAAGUGGUUCUAAAGGAAGGAAAUGGCGCAAAAAUGUCAAGGCAGUUGAGAAGGAAUUAUUUCUCUUGGAAGAUGAUAUGAAAGCUUUGGAAGAAAUGUAUCCUCAAGGAGAAAAGGCAGAGACUGCAUGGGCUUUAACCGUCUUGGGCUACAUGGGAAAGUUCGUACUGGGUAUUAUUGGGUUGAUUAUUUCAGUGGCUUGGGUUGCACAUAUUGUCAUAUAUUUAUUGAUAGACCCCCCUAUUUCCCCUUUCUUAAAUGAAGUAUUCAUCAAAUUGGAUAAUG